RNAcentral lists this ribosomal RNA (200 nucleotides) under uncultured bacterium. RNAcentral's name for it is "partial 16S ribosomal RNA". It matches the Rfam family "Bacterial small subunit ribosomal RNA", at positions 29 to 258 of the family's 1533-position model. The record is from RNAcentral.
AACGAACGCUGGCGGCAGGCCUAAAACAUGCAAGUCGAACGAACCUUCGGGUUAGUGGCGCACGGGUGAGUAACACGUGGGAAUGUACCUCUUGGUGCGGAAUAACGUAGGGAAACUUACGCUAAUACCGCAUAAUAUCUACGGAUCAAAGAUUUAUCGCCAAGAGAUCAGCCCGCGCUAGAUUAGGUAGUUGAUGAGGU